RNAcentral lists this ribosomal RNA (761 nucleotides) under uncultured bacterium. RNAcentral describes it as "bacterial SSU rRNA". It matches the Rfam family "Bacterial small subunit ribosomal RNA", at positions 115 to 878 of the family's 1533-position model. The record is from RNAcentral.
ACGUAUCCAACCUACCGGUUAUUCCGGGAUAGCCUUUCGAAAGAAAGAUUAAUACCGGAUAGUAUAACGAGAAGGCAUCUUCUUGUUAUUAAAGAAUUUCGAUAACCGAUGGGGAUGCGUUCCAUUAGUUUGUUGGCGGGGUAACGGCCCACCAAGACAUCGAUGGAUAGGGGUUCUGAGAGGAAGGUCCCCCACAUUGGAACUGAGACACGGUCCAAACUCCUACGGGAGGCAGCAGUGAGGAAUAUUGGUCAAUGGACGAGAGUCUGAACCAGCCAAGUAGCGUGAAGGAUGACUGCCCUAUGGGUUGUAAACUUCUUUUAUAUGGGAAUAAAGUGAGCCACGUGUGGCUUUUUGUAUGUACCAUACGAAUAAGGAUCGGCUAACUCCGUGCCAGCAGCCGCGGUAAUACGGAGGAUCCGAGCGUUAUCCGGAUUUAUUGGGUUUAAAGGGAGCGUAGGCGGACUAUUAAGUCAGCUGUGAAAGUUUGCGGCUCAACCGUAAAAUUGCAGUUGAUACUGGUCGUCUUGAGUGCAGUAGAGGUAGGCGGAAUUCGUGGUGUAGCGGUGAAAUGCUUAGAUAUCACGAAGAACUCCGAUUGCGAAGGCAGCUUACUGGACUGUAACUGACGCUGAUGCUCGAAAGUGUGGGUAUCAAACAGGAUUAGAUACCCUGGUAGUCCACACAGUAAACGAUGAAUACUCGCUGUUUGCGAUAUACGGCAAGCGGCCAAGCGAAAGCAUUAAGUAUUCCACCUGGGG